CCUACGGGUGGCUGCAGUGAGGAAUAUUGGUCAAUGGGCGCGAGCCUGAACCAGCCAAGUCGCGUGAGGGAAGACGGUCCUAUGGAUUUUAAACCUCUUUUGUCGGGGAGCAAAAGACGCCGCGCGUGGCGUUCCCAGAGUACCCGAAGAAAAAGCAUAGGCUAACUCCGCGCCAGGAGGCGCGGUGAUACGGAGGAUGCGAGUGUUAUACGGAUUUAUUGGGGUUAAAGGGUGCGCAGGCGGAAGAUCGAGUCAGCGGUAAAAUUGAGAGGCUCAACCUCUUCGAGCCGUUGAAACUGGUUUUCUUGAGUGAGCGGGAAGGAUGCGGAAUGCGUGGUGUGGCGGUGAAAU
RNAcentral lists this ribosomal RNA (351 nucleotides) under uncultured bacterium. RNAcentral describes it as "partial 16S ribosomal RNA". It matches the Rfam family "Bacterial small subunit ribosomal RNA", at positions 338 to 687 of the family's 1533-position model. The record is from RNAcentral.